CCUAGCGCCGAUUUUUCUUCUCCUCUUCCGAGUUUAGGUUGCCUCCAAGUUGUGCUGUUCGGGGGAGUUAGUAAUUAGGGUUUGCUGUUGGUUGUCUUGGCUUCGGCAGCCAUUUUCCAGCGGCUACCUUUCUCUGGUAGCAACAUCCCUGCUGUGGGUGAGUGUAGGGGAAUCUUGAAGAGAAGUGUUUACUGUAAGUUUUCUUGGAUUUGGCAGCUACUUUCAUCCAGCAGCAAGGAACCGCUGUGGAGGUUAAGGACCUUGACGCGAGACGAGUAUCUCGGAGUCAGAUUGGACCUUUCUAUUUUCGGAGG
Zingiber officinale is the source of this 314-nucleotide long non-coding RNA. RefSeq lists it as uncharacterized. The record is from RefSeq and is a predicted model, not a curated record. NCBI's taxonomy places the organism in Eukaryota, Viridiplantae, Streptophyta, Magnoliopsida, Zingiberales, Zingiberaceae. The transcript is spliced from 3 exons.